GCCUAGAUAGCUCAGUUGGAGAGCGUUAGACUGAAGAUCUAAAGGUCCCCGGUUCGAUCCCGGGUCUGGACA
RNAcentral lists this transfer RNA (72 nucleotides) under Penaeus vannamei (Pacific white shrimp). RNAcentral's name for it is "Litopenaeus vannamei (Pacific white shrimp) tRNA". It matches the Rfam family "tRNA". From Rfam's summary of the family: Transfer RNA (tRNA) molecules are approximately 80 nucleotides in length. Their secondary structure includes four short double-helical elements and three loops (D, anti-codon, and T loops). Further hydrogen bonds mediate the characteristic L-shaped molecular structure. tRNAs have two regions of fundamental functional importance: the anti-codon, which is responsible for specific mRNA codon recognition, and the 3' end, to which the tRNAs corresponding amino acid is attached (by aminoacyl-tRNA synthetases). tRNAs cope with the degeneracy of the genetic code in two manners: having more than one tRNA (with a specific anti-codon) for a particular amino acid; and 'wobble' base-pairing, i.e. permitting non-standard base-pairing at the 3rd anti-codon position. The record is from Rfam by way of RNAcentral. Lineage: Eukaryota; Metazoa; Arthropoda; Malacostraca; Decapoda; Penaeidae.